UUGUCUUCGGCAGCAUAUAUACUAAAAUUGGAAUGAUACAGAGAAGAUUAGCAUGGCCCCUGUGCAAGGAUGAUUUGCAAAUUCGUGAAGCAUUCCAUUUUGGG
Gopherus agassizii (Agassiz's desert tortoise) is the source of this 104-nucleotide small nuclear RNA. Lineage: Eukaryota; Metazoa; Chordata; Testudines; Testudinidae. The record is from Ensembl.